This 406-nucleotide ribosomal RNA is filed under the name uncultured prokaryote. RNAcentral's name for it is "bacterial SSU rRNA". It matches the Rfam family "Bacterial small subunit ribosomal RNA", at positions 355 to 776 of the family's 1533-position model. RNAcentral also lists the same sequence under 1 other name. The record is from RNAcentral.
UGGGGAAUAUUGGGCAAUGGGGGAAACCCUGACCCAGCGACGCCGCGUGAGGGAAGACGGUCUUCGGAUUGUAAACCUCUGUCGUAAGGGACGAAGAAAUGACGGUACCUUACAAGAAAGCCACGGCUAACUACGUGCCAGCAGCCGCGGUAAUACGUAGGUGGCAAGCGUUAUCCGGAAUUACUGGGUGUAAAGGGUGUGUAGGCGGGAUGGUAAGUCAGAUGUGAAAAUUAUGGGCUCAACCCAUAACUUGCAUUUGAAACUGCCGUUCUUGAGGGUCGGAGAGGUAAGUGGAAUUCCCGGUGUAGCGGUGAAAUGCGUAGAUAUCGGGAGGAACAUCUGUGGCGAAGGCGACUUACUGGACGAUUACUGACGCUGAGACACGAAAGCGUGGGGAGCAAACAGG